UCCUGGAAGAACACCAGGUUGAUAGGUCAGAGAUGUAAGCAUGGCAACAUGUUAAGUUGACUGAUACUAAUAAGUCGAGGGCUUGACCAAAUAA
Molecule: ribosomal RNA, 94 nt
Filed under: Clostridium botulinum
Lineage: Bacteria; Bacillati; Bacillota; Clostridia; Eubacteriales; Clostridiaceae
Description: partial 23S ribosomal RNA
Rfam family: Bacterial large subunit ribosomal RNA
Source: RNAcentral